GCUGGUGUGGCGGAAUGGCAGACGCAGCAGACUCAAAAUCUGCCGAGGGCAACCUUGUACGGGUUCAAGUCCCGUCACCAGCA
Molecule: transfer RNA, 83 nt
Filed under: Lachnospiraceae bacterium
Lineage: Bacteria; Bacillati; Bacillota; Clostridia; Lachnospirales; Lachnospiraceae
Also listed under: 1 other name
Description: tRNA-Leu
Rfam family: tRNA
About the family: Transfer RNA (tRNA) molecules are approximately 80 nucleotides in length. Their secondary structure includes four short double-helical elements and three loops (D, anti-codon, and T loops). Further hydrogen bonds mediate the characteristic L-shaped molecular structure. tRNAs have two regions of fundamental functional importance: the anti-codon, which is responsible for specific mRNA codon recognition, and the 3' end, to which the tRNAs corresponding amino acid is attached (by aminoacyl-tRNA synthetases). tRNAs cope with the degeneracy of the genetic code in two manners: having more than one tRNA (with a specific anti-codon) for a particular amino acid; and 'wobble' base-pairing, i.e. permitting non-standard base-pairing at the 3rd anti-codon position.
Source: RNAcentral